AGGACGAACGCUGGCGGCGUGCUUAACACAUGCAAGUCGAACGAGGUCCAACCUUCGGGUGAAGACCUAGUGGCGAACGGGUGCGUAACACGUGAGGAACUUGUCCCGGUCUCUGGGAUAACAGUUGGAAACGACUGCUAAUACCGGAUGACGUCGGAGCGUCGCAUGGCGCGCUGACGAAAGGGUUACUGGAUCGGGAGAGCCUCGCGGCCUAUCAGCUUGUUGGUGGGGUAACGGCCUACCAAGGCAUCGACGGGUAGCUGGUCUGAGAGGAUGAUCAGCCACACUGGGACUGAGACACGGCCCAGACUCCUACGGGAGGCAGCAGUGGGGAAUCUUGCGCAAUGGGCGAAAGCCUGACGCAGCAACGCCGCGUGCGGGAAGAAGGCUCUCGGGUUGUAAACCGCUUUCAGAAGGAACGAAACUGACGGUACUUUCAGAAGAAGGUGCGGCCAACUACGUGCCAGCAGCCGCGGUAA
This 479-nucleotide ribosomal RNA is filed under the name uncultured bacterium. RNAcentral describes it as "SSU rRNA". It matches the Rfam family "Bacterial small subunit ribosomal RNA", at positions 26 to 523 of the family's 1533-position model. The record is from RNAcentral.